Arachis stenosperma is the source of this 319-nucleotide long non-coding RNA. RefSeq lists it as uncharacterized. The record is from RefSeq and is a predicted model, not a curated record. NCBI's taxonomy places the organism in Eukaryota, Viridiplantae, Streptophyta, Magnoliopsida, Fabales, Fabaceae. The transcript is spliced from 4 exons.
UGGAGCUGCCCAGAAUCACUACUGCUGCUGCCAUGGGAGCUGGUAUUGGAACCACUGAUGGAGCUGCUGUGUUUAGUGAUUUUCGCGAGUUGUGACAUCGAGGAUUGAAAUUGUAGAUAAAUGCUUUUGCCAUGACAUAAUGGAACAGAUUGUUGAUUCUUUGGAAAGAGUGGCAAGUGAAACAAAUGAUGCAUGGUGCAUUUCUACCCUAAAUAGACUUAAAGAAGCUUCGCCAUUGAGCUUGAAGGUUUCCCUGAGAUCAAUACGAGAGGGUAGAUUUUAAACUCUUAACCAGUGCUUGUUGCGUGAGUACCAUACG